Molecule: ribosomal RNA, 1440 nt
Filed under: Vibrio sp. VNB-15
Lineage: Bacteria; Pseudomonadati; Pseudomonadota; Gammaproteobacteria; Vibrionales; Vibrionaceae
Description: bacterial SSU rRNA
Rfam family: Bacterial small subunit ribosomal RNA
Source: RNAcentral
CGAGCGGCGGACGGGUGAGUAAUGCCUAGGAAAUUGCCCUGAUGUGGGGGAUAACCAUUGGAAACGAUGGCUAAUACCGCAUGAUGCCUACGGGCCAAAGAGGGGGACCUUCGGGCCUCUCGCGUCAGGAUAUGCCUAGGUGGGAUUAGCUAGUUGGUGAGGUAAUGGCUCACCAAGGCGACGAUCCCUAGCUGGUCUGAGAGGAUGAUCAGCCACACUGGAACUGAGACACGGUCCAGACUCCUACGGGAGGCAGCAGUGGGGAAUAUUGCACAAUGGGCGCAAGCCUGAUGCAGCCAUGCCGCGUGUGUGAAGAAGGCCUUCGGGUUGUAAAGCACUUUCAGUCGUGAGGAAGGUGGUARUGUUAAUAGCAUUAUUAUUUGACGUUAGCGACAGAAGAAGCACCGGCUAACUCCGUGCCAGCAGCCGCGGUAAUACGGAGGGUGCGAGCGUUAAUCGGAAUUACUGGGCGUAAAGCGCAUGCAGGUGGUUUGUUAAGUCAGAUGUGAAAGCCCGGGGCUCAACCUCGGAAUAGCAUUUGAAACUGGCAGACUAGAGUACUGUAGAGGGGGGUAGAAUUUCAGGUGUAGCGGUGAAAUGCGUAGAGAUCUGAAGGAAUACCGGUGGCGAAGGCGGCCCCCUGGACAGAUACUGACACUCAGAUGCGAAAGCGUGGGGAGCAAACAGGAUUAGAUACCCUGGUAGUCCACGCCGUAAACGAUGUCUACUUGGAGGUUGUGGCCUUGAGCCGUGGCUUUCGGAGCUAACGCGUUAAGUAGACCGCCUGGGGAGUACGGUCGCAAGAUUAAAACUCAAAUGAAUUGACGGGGGCCCGCACAAGCGGUGGAGCAUGUGGUUUAAUUCGAUGCAACGCGAAGAACCUUACCUACUCUUGACAUCCAGAGAACUUUCCAGAGAUGGAUUGGUGCCUUCGGGAACUCUGAGACAGGUGCUGCAUGGCUGUCGUCAGCUCGUGUUGUGAAAUGUUGGGUUAAGUCCCGCAACGAGCGCAACCCUUAUCCUUGUUUGCCAGCGAGUAAUGUCGGGAACUCCAGGGAGACUGCCGGUGAUAAACCGGAGGAAGGUGGGGACGACGUCAAGUCAUCAUGGCCCUUACGAGUAGGGCUACACACGUGCUACAAUGGCGCAUACAGAGGGCAGCAAGCUAGCGAUAGUGAGCGAAUCCCAAAAAGUGCGUCGUAGUCCGGAUUGGAGUCUGCAACUCGACUCCAUGAAGUCGGAAUCGCUAGUAAUCGUGGAUCAGAAUGCCACGGUGAAUACGUUCCCGGGCCUUGUACACACCGCCCGUCACACCAUGGGAGUGGGCUGCAAAAGAAGUAGGUAGUUUAACCUUGGGGAGGACGCUUACCACUUUGUGGUUCAUGACUGGGGUGAAGUCGUAACAAGGUAGCGCUAGGGGAACCUGGCGCUGGAUCACCU